AUUGAACGCUGGCGGCAGGCCUAACACAUGCAAGUCGAACGAGUGGCGGACGGGUGAGUAAUGUCUGGGAAACUGCCUGAUGGAGGGGGAUAACUACUGGAAACGGUAGCUAAUACCGCAUACCAUCGGAUGUGCCCCGAUGGGAUUGGCUAGUGGGUGGGGUAAAGGCUCACCGAGGCGGCGAUCCCUAGCUGGGCUGGGAGGAUGACCAGCCACACUGGAACGUGGACACGGUCCAUAGGACUGCGGGAGGGAGCAGUGGGGAACAUUGAACAACGGGCGCAAGCCUGAUGCAGCCAUGCCGCGUGUAUGAAGGAGGCCUUCGGUUUGUAAAGUCCUUUCUGCGGGGAGGCGUUACCCGCAGAAGAAGCACCGGCUAACUCCGUGCCAGCAGCCGCGGUAAUUC
Molecule: ribosomal RNA, 406 nt
Filed under: uncultured bacterium
Lineage: Bacteria
Description: partial 16S ribosomal RNA
Rfam family: Bacterial small subunit ribosomal RNA
Source: RNAcentral